RNAcentral lists this transfer RNA (24 nucleotides) under Cordulia shurtleffii. RNAcentral describes it as "partial tRNA-Asn". Lineage: Eukaryota; Metazoa; Arthropoda; Insecta; Odonata; Corduliidae. The record is from RNAcentral.
UUUAAAAAUUAGUUAAGCCAAAAU